Molecule: ribosomal RNA, 253 nt
Filed under: uncultured bacterium
Lineage: Bacteria
Description: partial 16S ribosomal RNA
Rfam family: Bacterial small subunit ribosomal RNA
Source: RNAcentral
UACGAAGGGGGCUAGCGUUGUUCGGAAUUACUGGGCGUAAAGCGUGCGUAGGCGGUUUGUUAAGUCCGUUGUGAAAGCCCUGGGCUCAACCUGGGAAUUGCAGUGGAUACUGGCGAGCUAGAGUGCGGUAGAGGAUGGUGGAAUUCCCGGUGUAGCGGUGAAAUGCGUAGAGAUCGGGAGGAACACCCGUGGCGAAGGCGGCCAUCUGGACCAGCACUGACGCUGAGGCACGAAAGCGUGGGGAGCAAACAGG